This 305-nucleotide ribosomal RNA is filed under the name uncultured bacterium. RNAcentral's name for it is "bacterial SSU rRNA". It matches the Rfam family "Bacterial small subunit ribosomal RNA", at positions 337 to 635 of the family's 1533-position model. The record is from RNAcentral.
GCCUACGGGAGGCAGCAGUAGGGAAUUUUCGUCAAUGGGCGCAAGCCUGAACGAGCAAUGCCGCGUGAACGAGGAAGGUCUUCGGAUCGUAAAGUUCUGUUGAAGGGGAAAAAGAGCGGAGAGAGGAAAUGCUUUCUGAUUGAUAUUACCCUUCGAGGAAGUCACGGCUAACUACGUGCCGGCAGCCGCGGUAAUACGUAGGUGGCGAGCGUUAUCCGGAAUGAUUGGGCGUAAAGGGUGCGUAGGCGGCCUGCUAAGUCUGGAGUGAAAGGUACCGGCUCAACCGGUACAGGCUCUGGAAACUG